Long non-coding RNA from Brienomyrus brachyistius, 3595 nucleotides. RefSeq lists it as uncharacterized. The record is from RefSeq and is a predicted model, not a curated record. The transcript is spliced from 3 exons. NCBI's taxonomy places the organism in Eukaryota, Metazoa, Chordata, Actinopteri, Osteoglossiformes, Mormyridae.
GGGCGGCCCGGGCACAUGGAAGGCACUGGGAAACAGGCCGGAGUCUGUCUCUGGGGGAAAGCCGCCGGCUUUGGGCCAGGCUACCACAAGACCUUCAAUGGAGACGUUUGUACAGAAUUUUGUGACUGCUUUGUCUGCGAAAGGUGCUUACAAAAAACCAACAAUAAAGAAGACAGAGGACAAAAGUGUUUACCAGAAGCUGGGGAAAUGUAACUGUGACCAAGGAAUGAAGGCUGGAUAUCUUGCUGACUCCCAUUCCACCUCUGAUGUCACUCUGCUUGACUGGCCUAAUCAGAAUCUUUAGAGAAAAUGAUGUCACUUAGUACAUUUACAUGCAUAGCUAAGUGAAGCUACAGUAUAGCUCGACUACACCAUUUAAUCGGACUACUGUCCUUGUCCCAGUACACAUGCACGGAAGGGGGAUCGAUUUAUUAACGGAAGUAUGUCCGACUCUGCUACAAUAGGUGGCGAUAUGGCUCCUUUUGGCUGUUAGUGUUGGGCUUUUUCCGGUUGACCUAUUACGUCACAGACAUUAAAAAAAAUAAAAAAAUGAAUAAUAAUGGAUGCGUGGACACAUGAAGUGACACAAACUUUAAUCGCGACCUGGCAGGAAGAACAGAUACAACAAGAUCAGGGUAGCAUAACAAGAAAGCAUUUUAUAUAAUAUACUAUAACAGCACGGUAUUGGAGAUUUUUCAAAUAUAGCAAUGUGAUUUUGUUGUAAUAAAUAUUGGGGUAUUUAUGAAACAAAAAAGGAGUUUAACAUAAAUUUCCCACAAUCCCACCUAGGAGUGAUUUAAUCAACAAGCAAGAAAAUUAUUAUGAUUGUCUGGGGAAAAGCAUGCAGUACUCAUGCAAAAACAGCGAAGGCAACUGAUUUUGAAAAAUAUACUUGAUAACCUUGAAAAUGAAUAAUAAUUAAAAUGACUGAACUUGGUAAGUUUUUUUUCAGUUUUAGCGAGACUUAAACUCUCUGCGCUACCAUAUCUAUACCAAACUGAAGGUAAGAAAAACUCUGAUCUUAAUCUAGCUGACUAGCGAUGUAAGAAUUGGAUAUGCAUAACAUGCGAUUUUGGUAUUAAUUUUCCACGUGGUCCAGUCGUACUACAGCCAUUUUUCGAAUUCAGUGCAUAAUACCCCGCCUUACAUUGUGAUGUAUGCCAUUUGGUGCUGGUACCAGUUUUUACGCCAGUGGAAAACCAAUAACUUGAAGUACCGUACUUUUUGUACGAUGUUACUCGGAGGCAGACGACUACCUCAGAUUAUACCCCAUGCGCAGAACGCCUAGUCCAGUUUGAGUCCGAUUGAGUGUAUACAUGCAAGAGUCAAUAGACUCCAAAUCACAUUAGCUGGCUGUCUUAGUCCAACUUCGAGAAAUUCGAUUUAGUACGGUUUCAGUCGUACAAACAUGUAUUCAUGUACUUUAAAGUUCCGAUUUUAGUCGGACUAACACAAUAAUUCGAUUUUCUUAGUGUACAUGUAAAAGUACUGACUGUCUUAUUUUAGAAUAAGAAUUUUUUUUCUUUUUAUUUUAUGUUUGGCAAAAACCUUCUAACCAAAAACUAACCAACUAAACUAGGCUUUCAAAGCCUAAGGCUUGGCGAAACAGAUGGAACGGCAUUUAUUUUUGGUGCAGUCUUAAAAAUAGGUUUAUACAUUAAGAUUGUUGAUUGGUUAUAUUAGAAACUAUAAAAUGUUACGUUUAGCUGGAGUAAAAACGAAGGAAUGUUUGAGCAAGAUAAUGUUUUUGUGACCACUGUCCUUCAUGUUUCCCACACAAAUGGACAAGCUGCUAAAAUUAAGAAGCGGUUCUUUCAACCUGAAGCCUCAACACACAGUCUCGAUCAAUAGUCUCAAGGCCCGGCAUCUGGGGCUGAAAAACAACUUGGGGAAUCUUUCCCAUCACCCUCCGGGAUGGCCAACAGACACAACCAAACUGAUUAAAAAGGGGCCACAAACCUUUUCAAAACCUUUCAAAAACAUUCUGCAGUUAUAACUUUUUUAUUUUAAGCAGACUGUAUAUAUUUCAAUACUGAUAUUUCAAAAUAAAGAUAUCUCAAAAUUUCUAAUACUUUCAACUGAACUACGCGAAUGUCAGAGAGCAGUUAAAACAUAAUGUUUUGCCUCCUACCAAUUCCAGUGAUCUGUUCUGUGGACUAGCUGGCUAUUAAUAAAUUAGCUUGACACUAGGUUGAUCUGUGUGGGCAGACAGGGAGUAUAUUGCAUGAAAUUUAAAUUAUAAAAAUGACAGAGAGCACAAUAUAGCUUUUAGCUUAUAACUACAUUUAUCAUAUCUUAUGCAGUUAUUGUGACUGGUUAAUGGAAUUGCUUCAGUGACAGCAACAGAGACGUUUUAUAAUUGUUGACAGUCAAGUAAUUUGAUCUGGUUUUGAUGCAGACCUGUGAUAAUGACUUUAGAGUGGCUGGUCCAGGUGGACACAUUUCAAAAUAUGUUAUUAUUUUCAUUGUGUAACCUCAACAUGUGCAUUUGCUCCUCAUUUGAAGGAUGAUGGUGAAAUAACACUGCAAGUAUAUUCAUGCAAAUAUUCCCACUGUCCUAAGAAAGGUAGCAAUUUAUGACUGACCUGUUUUUAGUGUGAUUCAUGGUUCAACCCUUUGAGCUUUCAGCCUUUUUUGGGCAAUUCUGCCAGCUUGGGGUGUAUUUAAAUAUAAAGCAUAAAAAGCCUUGUGGUAGACUGGAGAUAUAAGCAACAAGAUACAUAUAAGGGCAGCCUUUGUUUCAGAAAUCCCUCAAGACAGAAUUGAUCUCUGAGAAUCAGGAUUCCAGUGUUGAUGAAAUUCAAAGAUCACAUCUAGACAUGCACUUGGCUUUGGUACAUCUCCAUACUUUUCCAGUGCCACCAAGAACUGAGCCAUACUUGUGCUAACAUGACCCUACUUACUAUUAGGGCUGAAAGGGUGACUAAACUGAGCUGAUGGGUCGAAAUGCAUGGAGAUACCAAUGAUCUGUGUUGAUAUGCAUAGAUUAUCUGAAGGAAAAGGGGCAUGUUCUAUAUGUUAUUCAAUAUUAGUAGUUUAUCACAUCAUGAUGUAUUGAUGCAUUGCCGAUACCUCGGAACUUAAAAAUGUCCAACCUCUUACUUAAAAAAGUACUAGAGAAUGUCUGAAUGGAAUGGAUUUGUAAUGCAAAUUUAUGCAAGCAAAUGCUAAUUCUACUAGCGUUAGAUGCUAACAUAACACAGCGAUUCCCACAGACAUACUAGUGGAAAUCAGCACAUAGCAAAUCGUGAUGUAUACUGUGUGAACAAUAAGCGUCUCUUUGGUUUUAAGUCACUGUCGCUCUCUAAACUUGGCCGAUCUGGCCCUUCUGCAGUGGAAAACCAAAGCGAUCUGGAACUGCACUGUCUCUUCGCGGUACAGCUUGGGUACCUAUUGGUUCUUUGUCAGUGGAAAAGCACCAGCUUCGAUAGGUUUGCUUUGUAAUCUGCAAUCUCAUCAUAAAAUGCCAUACAGUUGAGACAAGAUUAACCUGUUAUAUAUUGAUGCCUACAGAUGAAGACAACAGCGUAGUACUCGUGUAUGGUCAGCAAUCUGAUUUGGGUUUUUUCCUAUGACAUAGUAAAAAUGUUUAAGG